RNAcentral lists this ribosomal RNA (279 nucleotides) under uncultured Lactobacillaceae bacterium. RNAcentral's name for it is "partial 16S ribosomal RNA". It matches the Rfam family "Bacterial small subunit ribosomal RNA", at positions 75 to 339 of the family's 1533-position model. Lineage: Bacteria; Bacillati; Bacillota; Bacilli; Lactobacillales; Lactobacillaceae. The record is from RNAcentral.
UGAUUUACAUUUUGAGUGAGUGGCGAACUGGUGAGUAACACGUGGGAAACCUGCCCAGAAGCGGGGGAUAACACCUGGAAACAGAUGCUAAUACCGCAUAACAACUCGGACCGCAUGGUCCGAGCUUGAAAAGAUGGUCUUCGGCUAUCUACUUUUGGAUGGUCCCGCGGCGUAUUAGCUAGAUGGUGGGGUAACGGGCUCACCAUGGACAAUGAUACGUAGCCCGACCCUGAGGAGGGUAAUCGGCCACAGUUGGGACUGAGACACGGCCCAAACUCC